GCGGGGGUGCCCGAGCCUGGCCAAAGGGGUCGGGCUGAGGACCCGAUGGCGUAGGCCUGCGUGGGUUCAAAUCCCACCCCCCGCACCA
This 88-nucleotide transfer RNA is filed under the name Stetteria hydrogenophila. RNAcentral's name for it is "tRNA-Leu". It matches the Rfam family "tRNA". Rfam says of the family: Transfer RNA (tRNA) molecules are approximately 80 nucleotides in length. Their secondary structure includes four short double-helical elements and three loops (D, anti-codon, and T loops). Lineage: Archaea; Thermoproteati; Thermoproteota; Thermoprotei; Acidilobales; Acidilobaceae. The record is from RNAcentral. RNAcentral also lists the same sequence under 12 other names.